CUAAUAUUACUCCUGCUGCAUUAUUCAGACAGACACAGAAGGGUGCACACACACUCAAGCACAUGCACAAACACACAUAAGUUUGCCAUAGCCCACUUCAGGUUACUAGCCAGGGUAGCACAAUGGUGUAUGCGGAGGACAACUAGCUUCCGUCCUCCUCUGGGUACAUUUAGCCUACUCAAACACCCGGCUCAAACAGAGGGAUGCUAUGUUAGUUAGCUGGCUAUGACUAUCCAAAACUGGAGCUCUUCUAGGUCAAGCUAAGUCCCCUCCUGUUCCCUGAUUAAGCCAUGAUGGCCCUCUCCACUCCACUACCAGUGUCAACACUCUCCUGACAUGAACUGAAGCCAUGUCUCAUGUGCCCUCUCAUCCACUGGUGCAUUGAAUGUUUCAUCUCCAUGCACUUCAAAUCUUGUCCUGCCCUCAGUGGAAGAGUUGAGCUCUUCUCCAACACCAUCCAUCCAUGAUGAGCCUGUCCUGCACUGAAGCCUCUGAACACCUCAACCCCUGUCCUGGACUGAAGUCAAGCCUCCGAACACACCCCAACUCAUAGUCUCAUUCAAUCACUGCUGUGAUAUCUUCCUAACACUAAGUAGUCAUCUCAUUGCCCAUAAUAUUUUAAUAUACAUGUCUUUAUUAAAUGUUUUAGGUUAAAAUCAUUUCUUUUUUAAAACACGCAUUAUCACUUC
Long non-coding RNA from Oncorhynchus nerka (sockeye salmon), 689 nucleotides. RefSeq lists it as uncharacterized. NCBI's taxonomy places the organism in Eukaryota, Metazoa, Chordata, Actinopteri, Salmoniformes, Salmonidae. The record is from RefSeq and is a predicted model, not a curated record. The transcript is spliced from 4 exons.